Molecule: ribosomal RNA, 489 nt
Filed under: uncultured bacterium
Lineage: Bacteria
Description: bacterial SSU rRNA
Rfam family: Bacterial small subunit ribosomal RNA
Source: RNAcentral
AAUGAACGUUGGCGGCGUGGAUUAGGCAUGCAAGUCGAGCGAGAACCCUCCUUCGGGAGGGGGACAGCGGCAAACGGGGUAGGAGUACGUCGGUUACGUACCCCCAGGACCGGGAUAGCCAAGGGAAACUUUGGGUAAUACCGGAUAACAUCUGCGGAUCAAAUGGUGUGAUUCCGCCUGGGGAGCGGCUGACGCGGUAUUAGCUAGUUGGUAGGGUAACGGCCUACCAAGGCGAAGAUGCCUGGGGGGUGUGAGAGCAUGGCCCCCACCACUGGGACUGAGAUACUGCCCAGACACCUACGGGUGGCUGCAGUCGAGAAUCUUCGGCAAUGGGCGCAAGCCUGACCGAGCGACGCCGCGUGCGGGAUGAAGGCCCUCGGGUUGUAAACCGCUGUCAGGGGGGAUGAAAUGCAUGGGGGUUCUCCCCCAUGCUUGACAGAGCCCCAGAGGAAGCACGGGCUAAGUUCGUGCCAGCAGCCGCAGUAAAAC